Molecule: unclassified non-coding RNA, 301 nt
Filed under: Marchandiomyces quercinus
Lineage: Eukaryota; Fungi; Basidiomycota; Agaricomycetes; Corticiales; Corticiaceae
Description: sequence contains 5.8S rRNA gene
Rfam family: 5.8S ribosomal RNA (bases 1-53)
Source: RNAcentral
GAACGCACCUUGCGCUCGUCGGUAUUCCGACGAGCAUGCCUGUUUGAGUCUCAUGAAUCUCUCAAACCUCGAAAGUUUGCGCUUUCGAUGGCUUUGGACUUGGAGGUCUAUGCCGGCGCGAGUCGGCUCCUCUCUAAAUGCAUUAGCUCGGAUCAUACGUGUCGAUCUGCGGUGUGAUAAACGUCUACGUCGCGGCAUUGACACCUCGCUUUUUUGCGAGCUGGUCUGGCUUCUAAUCGCCUUCGGGCAACACAUCUGACAUCUGAGCUCAAAUCAGGUAGGACUACCCGCUGAACUUAAG